CUGCCACUGAGGAGUCCCAUAAUAGGACGAAACGGCCUUAAAGCAG
Molecule: non-coding RNA, 46 nt
Organism: Schistosoma mansoni
Lineage: Eukaryota; Metazoa; Platyhelminthes; Trematoda; Strigeidida; Schistosomatidae
Source: Rfam